CAAAGGCCUCCUCCCCCCCUCAAAGUGAAAACGGCUCUAGGAGAGUUUUUUGGGAGAGAGGGUUUUUUUCUCUCCACUUAUUCGGAACACCGCCUUUCCUCAACUUUAAUUCUAUGAAUAUUAUUUUUAUCUAAUUUCUGUAUCAUCUGAGCGGGUUGGUCAGUCAGGGGGUCUUACUGGGAGAGGGAAAUGGAGCUAGCUAAUCUUGCUAAUCUAACUGAUUGAAACCAUGAAAAGAGAGUGGAAUAUCAGCUGACACCUCCAACCACAAUGACAAGGAUCACAUUAGUGCAUUGCCUGAUGAUGUUCUUCAUACAAUUGUUAACUUGCUGAGUAUGAGAGAUGCGAUACGCACUAGCAAGUUAUCACGAAGUUGGAAGAACAUUUAUGCACACAAGUCAAGACUGGAAUUUGAUUGGCCUAACAUAAUUUCGAAUUACGCAAACACAUAUACACAUGGAAUGGUUUCCAUUAGGAAUGUGAGAUUUUUCCAAAGAAGCAUAGAAGCAGUCUUAGCUUCACAUUCGGGAACCAAGAUUGAAUCCUUCAAGGUUCAAUGCUGCAUUGGAAACGAGCAUCCUCGUUACUUCAAAGGCUGGAUCAACUUUUCUGUAACCCUUGAGCUUGCCUUCAGUUGUGACGAAUUAUCGGAGCGUAACUGAUUGGACAACAAUUGACUGUUAUAACUUUCCUACACAUCUGCUUCUGAUCAAAACUGAGGCAUCUCUCCUUGCGUACAUGCAAACUGAGGGCAGAUAAUAUUUUUGUUGAUCGAUUUAGCACACUCACGAACCUUGUUUUGUGUGAUGUUAAGUUUGUUGGAGAAGCAGAGCCUCGUCUGUUUUCUUCUUGCUCGAAGCUCGAGUCCUUGACACUGGAAAGGUGCUUCGGUUUUGAAAGCUUGCGCGCUUCGACCCACAUGAUUGUGUGAAGACGCUCGUGGUGAGGAGGUGUGAAGAGUUAAAAUGGAUUGGCCUAAUUAGGGGCCUACUAAAAGAUGUGUGUAGGUGUUGAUCAGACGUGUGUGACGUGUGUUGAUGGUGACACGGAUACUCUGGUGGUCCCGCACGUAGGGUAGUAGAAGAAGGUAUCGUCUAACCCAAUCAGAAGAAGACACAUAUCUUGAUGAAGAAAGAUUGAAAGAUAUUGAAAAAUAUUUUGGUUACAUUAUUUUGUGUCUGGUUAAGGUGACGUUGGCUUGGACAUGACAGCGACAGGGAUGUGAGUGGUCUGGUCCCCUGUCUGUCCCAUUUACUAAUUACCUACAAAACAAUUAUGUUGACGUGAAAAACAACGU
Prunus mume (Japanese apricot) is the source of this 1297-nucleotide non-coding RNA. NCBI's taxonomy places the organism in Eukaryota, Viridiplantae, Streptophyta, Magnoliopsida, Rosales, Rosaceae. The record is from RefSeq and is a predicted model, not a curated record.